Molecule: ribosomal RNA, 408 nt
Filed under: uncultured bacterium
Lineage: Bacteria
Description: bacterial SSU rRNA
Rfam family: Bacterial small subunit ribosomal RNA
Source: RNAcentral
GUGGGGAAUAUUGGGCAAUGGGGGAAACCCUGACCCAGCAACGCCGCGUGAGGGAAGAAGGCUUUCGAGUUGUAAACCUCUGUCCUAUGGGAAGAAGAAAGUGACUGUACCAUAGGAGGAAGCUCCGGCUAACUACGUGCCAGCAGCCGCGGUAAUACGUAGGGAGCAAGCGUUGUCCGGAAUUACUGGGCGUAAAGGGUGCGUAGGCGGCGCAGUUAGUCAGAAGUGAAAUAUCGGGGCUUAACUCCGGGACUGCUUCUGAUACUGCUGUGCUCGAGUGCAGGAGAGGUAAGUGGAAUUCCUAGUGUAGCGGUGAAAUGCGUAGAUAUUAGGAGGAACACCAGUGGCGAAGGCGACUUACUGGACUGUAACUGACGCUGAGGCACGAAAGCGUGGGUAGCAAACAGG